ACCUGGUUGAUCCUGCCAGCAAUCAUAUGCUUGUUUAAAAGAUUAAGCCAUGCAUGUCUAAGUAUAAGCUGUAUCACAGCGAAGCUAAUACGUGCAAAAGGGCUGGACCUGGGGCAACUCAGGGAAGGCCGUAGUUGCAAGGUGAGAAACCAGUUCGGGGUAUUCCAAACUUCCAGGGGCGGGUCGGGGAAACCCGGUCUCUUCUGGAGGGCUCCGAUCUAGGCAGACGAAUCAUUGCAAAGCGUUGCGAAUCGAGGGCAAAAGCUCUCGAUGAUGCGAACGAGUAUCUGCCCUAUCAACUUUCGAUUGUAGUGUAGGGGACUACAAUGGUGAUAACGGGUACGGGGAAUUAGGGUUCGAUUCCGGAGAGUUAGCCUUAAAAAUGGCUAACAUUACCAAGGUAAGCAGCAGGCGCGUAAAUUAUCCAAUCCCAAUUCGGGGAGAUAGUGACGAGAAAUAUCGAUGUGGGGCCUUACGGGUUUCACGAUCGAAAUGAGUACAAUUUAAAAACCUUAACGAAUGCAAUUGGAGGGCAAGUCUGGUGCCAGCAGCCGCGGUAAUUCCAGCUCCAAGAGCGUAUAUUAAAGUUGUUGCGGUUAAAAAGCUCGUAGUUGGACCGUGGGGCGACGCGCGAUUUAAACUUCGCGGGGUCGCGGCUUUCGGGUCGCGGUUUCGCGGGGGCGCGCGUUCGUCUCGUUUUUUGCGUCGCUAAACGGCGUCGGGAGGCGUCUCUCGUGGGGGGCGAAAUCGUCUUUCCGCGGGUUGCGCUCCUCUUCGUCGGAUUGCAAGAUUUUACUUUGAAUAAAUUAGAGCGUUCAAAGCAGGCGAAAUCGUCUUGAAUACGUUAGCAUGGUAUAAUAGAAUAGGACCGUAAGAAUUUUUUUCGGUUUAACGUUUACUGGUUUCUAAAGCCGAGGUAAUGAUUAAUAGCGACAGUUGGGGUCGCUCGUACUCGGCGGUCAGAGGUGAAAUUCUAAGACCCGCC
RNAcentral lists this ribosomal RNA (985 nucleotides) under uncultured soil eukaryote. Its description in RNAcentral is "SSU rRNA". It matches the Rfam family "Eukaryotic small subunit ribosomal RNA", at positions 1 to 930 of the family's 1831-position model. The record is from RNAcentral.